CUAAGGAAUCGUUAGGCAACUGGUAACAGGAACCGAUCGAUUAACCUGAGGUCAAUCAUGUUCGAUUCGUCGAACAUGACCGUUCGUAACGACUCGAUAGAACCUCGCAAAUAUUCUACUCCCUAGUUUUGAGAGACCGGCGAACGUAGGGCCUAUAGCUCAGUUGGCUAGAGCGCACCCCUGAUAAGGGUGAGGUCGGUAGUUCGACUCUACCUAGGCCCACCUCAGGGAAGAGGCUGUUCCGCUGUUAAGGUGUUAGGGAUAGAAAACCUAACAGUUAGCAUCCUAACAGCUGACCGCCUUCGAUGGGGGCUGUAGCUCAGCUGGGAGAGCGCCGCCCUUGCAAGGCGGAGGCCGUCGGUUCGAUCCCGAUCAGCUCCACUUCUGUCCGGAUUCAUUGUUGGAUGCACAUUGCUCGGUAGAUGUAUUGAGCAGUGUGGAUCCAACGUCAGGUGGAUCGCGUCGGUUUUAGGUCUUUGACAAUUGCAUACGGGUACCAGAAUUUGAUCAAGUGUCGAUGGUAGAUAAUGACGGU
This 535-nucleotide transfer RNA is filed under the name uncultured delta proteobacterium. RNAcentral's name for it is "16S-23S ribosomal RNA intergenic spacer". The stretch from base 149 to 222 matches the Rfam family "tRNA". The record is from RNAcentral. Lineage: Bacteria; Deltaproteobacteria.